UUGACGGGACCGCACAAGCGGUGGAUGAUGUGGAUUAAUUCGAUGCAACGCGAAAACCUUACCUACCCUUGACAUGUCUGGAACCUUGCUGAGAGGCGAGGGUGCCUUCGGGAGCCAGAACACAGGUGCUGCAUGGCUGUCGUCAGCUCGUGUCGUGAGAUGUUGGGUUAAGUCCCGCAACGAGCGCAACCCUUGUCAUUAGUUGCCAUCAUUUAGUUGGGCACUCUAAUGAGACUGCCGGUGACAAACCGGAGGAAGGUGGGGAUGACGUCAAGUCCUCAUGGCCCUUAUGGGUAGGGCUUCACACGUCAUACAAUGGUCGGUACAGAGGGUUGCCAAGCCGCGAGGUGGAGCCAAUCCCUUAAAGCCGAUCGUAGUCCGGAUCGUAGUCUGCAACUCGACUACGUGAAGUCGGAAUCGCUAGUAAUCGUGAAUCAGAAUGUCACGGUGAAUACGUUCCCGGGCCUU
This 468-nucleotide ribosomal RNA is filed under the name uncultured Thauera sp. RNAcentral describes it as "bacterial SSU rRNA". It matches the Rfam family "Bacterial small subunit ribosomal RNA", at positions 917 to 1381 of the family's 1533-position model. Lineage: Bacteria; Pseudomonadati; Pseudomonadota; Betaproteobacteria; Rhodocyclales; Zoogloeaceae. The record is from RNAcentral.